AAUUAUAUCGUCUAUGUUAGUACACGACUAAUUGUACACAAAUUCUACAACUGCGGAGUUCACUAACAGAUGUAUACAGACAAGCCUUCGGACAUUUAUCUAUUUAAUAGAUCAAAACUAAAAUUAGAGAAUUUCUUUUAACCAGCGAAAGAGCAGAGCUAUAGCUAGAAUUUAGAAAAUGCUACUUCCUGAAAGAUUUAAACAAAAGAGAUGUGAGUUUUCUAAGGAGUAAUAUUUAUUGCACAACACACGCAUUCACACAAAUGUAUAAAUAUAUCAAUCUAGUCAUCCGACUAGUUAUAUGCUCACACAGCCAGUCACACAAAUGGCAUAUCACCAGCACUCACAAUUAUUAACAUCUUCAUAUAAUCACAUCACGUGGAAAUUAGUCAGUGGAGUCACCGAACCCCCGAUGAGCCGUCCUCCCACAUGGCCCAUCCUCUCAUAACGUGUGCACCAGGGAGCCGAUCCCCCAUACGGCCAACUGGUCUAAUCCUCACUGACCAGUCCUCUCAUUGUUUUUCCCAUUCUCUCUUUUCUUUUCCAUACCAACAGGAGGCAACCCGGUCGUCUCCAUCAAAUCUAGAUCAUCAGGCGCUCACAACAGGAGGCCACCCUGCGGGCUGCGAUCAAAUCUAGAUUAUCCGGUGCGCCCAAUAAAGAANNN
This 667-nucleotide long non-coding RNA is filed under the name Jatropha curcas. RNAcentral's name for it is "long non-coding RNA (JCUR_LNC002754)". The record is from RNAcentral. Lineage: Eukaryota; Viridiplantae; Streptophyta; Magnoliopsida; Malpighiales; Euphorbiaceae.